This 248-nucleotide long non-coding RNA is filed under the name Sorghum bicolor (sorghum). RNAcentral's name for it is "long non-coding RNA (SBIC_LNC000631)". Lineage: Eukaryota; Viridiplantae; Streptophyta; Magnoliopsida; Poales; Poaceae. The record is from RNAcentral.
CAGCGGGAUCCAAUAACCCGCCUCGUACGUCACCGGAUCCUGGAGCCUUCGACACACCACCCUCGACGCAGAGGCAGGACGGUUGGGGACGAUGGUGAGUUCUCGCAGCCCUACGGUGCGUACGUGUCGGCGGUUUGGAACUUUGGUUCGAUUUGGUGAACUUGUGGACUACUGGAUGGUCGUGAUAUAUAUAUAUAUAUGUGAUGUUCGUGUAUACAUGAUGUUCGUGAUAUAUAUAUGUGAUGUUC